CUAAAUAUUUGUCAUUUCCACUUUAAUUCCGUUUUUAAAAGUUGCCAUCGUUAAGGAUUCCUCUUGCAUUCAGUACUCUGUGAAUAUUCAGACCCAUUAAGGCUCUAUUGGUGUUGAUUCAAUUUUGUGGCGUGCUGGCUUUAACUGGCUUCCAUUGCAUUUGUGAUAAGUAAAUGAAAGGUGCACAAGCUAUGAACGGAGAAAACCCGAUUUCCCUUUGACUGAGUAAUUAGAUCGUUUGAUCAGUCUGGUGAGACGUGAUCAGAGAGUAGAAGCUUUGACGUACGAAUGGUGCAUGGAUUUGGCAUCAUACUUGUGACUUUCAUUUUUUUUCCCCCUUAUUCAUAACCUUGAACUAAUCCUGACGUUUGAAGGCAGUGAACUAGUUUCUGCAGCGGCACACCAGUAUGUUGCCACAUGUAGCAAUAAAUCACUCUUAGUCAAGUCAGAUUGUACCGUACCCCGUUAUCACACAAGAGUCUCAAAGGGACUUCACAAGCCCACAGCUGCAGAGAUCUCAACACCGGUGCAAGAAAAUCAUGCAAAUUUAAAAUAUCACUCAUUCAAAUGGUGCCAUUUCUAGGUCACGCUCUGCGUCCAUUGAGUCUUAAUUUGAACGAAUUCCAGAUCACACUUGAUUGAAAAUUUCUACAGCGUGAUUGCUUUUGUCCAUUCCAAUACACAAAGUACAUGGAUUCAAAUGUACAACCCCCUGGAGCAAAUGUUCCUAAAGGUCAAAAAUAUUAGAGAACACGAUUUAUUGAUCAUGCUAACCCCUCACGCUUCGCUUUCACUCCCGCUCACCACUUAUGCGCAUGCUCUUAAAUGCCAAUCACUUUAUAGACUGCCACUAUGUCCACCUGCAGUGGCCUCUUUCAAUUUUCCUCCUCUCCCAACUGGAUGGUGUUUGUGUGAUAUGCUGACUCACAGCCUGCACCGUUAUGGCAGCAACAGCAAUAAACUGGAUGUCCAAGAAUGUCUAAACAUUUUGCAAAGUACGACACUGUUUGGUGAGGUUUGGCUUUGACUUAGCAUGAAGCGCUUUCUUCAGCCCUCGGGGAUACUCGAUGCCAUUUGUUGAGCUUCUCAACCACAAAAAAUGUAACGCUAAAGGUGCAUCAUUGCUCCAAAUUUUUAAGCGCUCUUUUCAACGGAAUGUUUGAAUGUUUCAAGAAGUAGCCGAUUUUUAGCAUUGUAAUGAGUCUCUUCGUAUACCAUUUGUUGUGGCUGUUUAACGAUUGCGUCGCAAAAAAA
Molecule: long non-coding RNA, 1254 nt
Organism: Syngnathus acus (greater pipefish)
Lineage: Eukaryota; Metazoa; Chordata; Actinopteri; Syngnathiformes; Syngnathidae
Exons: 2
Source: RefSeq, a predicted model, not a curated record